UGGGGAAUUUUGGACAAUGGGCGAAAGCCUGAUCCAGCAAUGCCGCGUGUGUGAAGAGGGCCUUCGGGUUGUAAAGCACUUUUGUCCGGAAAGAAAUCCUUGGCUCUAAUACAGUCGGGGGAUGACGGUACCGGAAGAAUAAGCACCGGCUAACUACGUGCCAGCAGCCGCGGUAAUACGUAGGGUGCAAGCGUUAAUCGGAAUUACUGGGCGUAAAGCGUGCGCAGGCGGUUUGCUAAGACCGAUGUGAAAUCCCCGGGCUCAACCUGGGAACUGCAUUGGUGACUGGCAGGCUAGAGUAUGGCAGAGGGGGGUAGAAUUCCACGUGUAGCAGUGAAAAUGCGUAGAGAUGUGGAGGAAUACCGAUGGCGAAAGGCAGCCCCCCUGGGCCAAUACUGACGCUCAUGCACGAAAAGCGUGGGGAGCAAACAGGAUUAGAUACCCUGGUAGUCCACGCCCUAAAACGAUGUCAACUAGUUGUUGGGGAAUUCAUUUCCUUAGUAACGUAGCUAACGCGUGAAGUUGACCGCCUGGGGAGUACGGUCGCAAAGAUUAAAACUUAAAUGAAUUGACGGGGUCAUAGCUG
RNAcentral lists this ribosomal RNA (586 nucleotides) under uncultured bacterium. RNAcentral describes it as "partial 16S ribosomal RNA". It matches the Rfam family "Bacterial small subunit ribosomal RNA", at positions 355 to 932 of the family's 1533-position model. The record is from RNAcentral.